This 454-nucleotide ribosomal RNA is filed under the name uncultured bacterium. RNAcentral describes it as "partial 16S ribosomal RNA". It matches the Rfam family "Bacterial small subunit ribosomal RNA", at positions 28 to 507 of the family's 1533-position model. The record is from RNAcentral.
GAUGAACGCUGACAGAAUGCUUAACACAUGCAAGUCUACUUGAACUUCGGUUUGGGUGGCGGACGGGUGAGUAACGCGUAAAGAACUUGCCUCACAGUUAGGGACAACAUUUGGAAACGAAUGCUAAUACCUGAUAUUAUGAUUUUAGGGCAUCCUAAAAUUAUGAAAGCUAUAUGCGCUGUGAGAGAGCUUUGCGUCCCAUUAGCUAGUUGGAGAGGUAACGGCUCACCAAGGCGAUGAUGGGUAGCCGGCCUGAGAGGGUGAACGGCCACAAGGGGACUGAGACACGGCCCGUACGCCUACGGGAAGCAGCAGUGGGGAAUAUUGGACAAUGGACCAAAAGUCUGAUCCAGCAAUUCUGUUUGCACGAUGACGUUUUUCGGAAUGUAAAGUGCUUUCAGUUGGGAAGAAAAAAAUGACGGUACCAACAGAAGAAGUGACGGCUAAAUACGUG